RNAcentral lists this ribosomal RNA (441 nucleotides) under uncultured bacterium. Its description in RNAcentral is "partial 16S ribosomal RNA". It matches the Rfam family "Bacterial small subunit ribosomal RNA", at positions 338 to 795 of the family's 1533-position model. The record is from RNAcentral.
CCUACGGGAGGCAGCAGUGGGGGAUAUUGCACAAUGGGGGCAACCCUGAUGCAGCGACGCCGCGUGGGUGAAGAAGUAUUUCGGUAUGUAAAGCCCUAUCAGCAGGGAAGAAAGAAGACGGUACCUGACUAAGAAGCCCCGGCUAACUACGUGCCAGCAGCCGCGGUAAUACGUAGGGGGCGAGCGUUAUCCGGAUUCACUGGGUGUAAAGGGAGCGUAGACGGCCGUGCAAGCCAGGAGUGAAAGCCCGGGGCCCAACCCCGGGACUGCUCUUGGAACUGUGCGGCUGGAGUGCGGGAGGGGCAGGCGGAAUUCCUGGUGUAGCGGUGAAAUGCGUAGAUAUCAGGAGGAACACCGGCGGCGAAGGCGGCCUGCUGGACCGCGACUGACGUUGAGGCUCGAAAGCGUGGGGAGCGAACAGGAUUAGAUACCCGAGUAGUC